AUUUCCGCAUUUACUUCGAUUUUAUUCCUGUGAUUUUUGUUAAACGCUAUUCACCCCCCCUCCUAGCGUUGGGCACUUAUUCUAACAUUUGGUAUCAGAGCCAUACUCUUUGAAAGACUUAACAGUUUGAGAGAAACGAUCUAUGGCUUCUACUCACAAUCUUUAUGCAGGAAUUGGUGAGGGACAAUCAACCACGAGGCCACCACUCUUCGAUGGCACAAAUUACAACUAUUGGAAGGAGCG
This 243-nucleotide long non-coding RNA is filed under the name Nicotiana benthamiana. RNAcentral's name for it is "long non-coding RNA (NBEN_LNC032629)". The record is from RNAcentral. Lineage: Eukaryota; Viridiplantae; Streptophyta; Magnoliopsida; Solanales; Solanaceae.